Molecule: ribosomal RNA, 453 nt
Filed under: uncultured Paludibacter sp.
Lineage: Bacteria; Pseudomonadati; Bacteroidota; Bacteroidia; Bacteroidales; Paludibacteraceae
Description: partial 16S ribosomal RNA
Rfam family: Bacterial small subunit ribosomal RNA
Source: RNAcentral
ACGGAAGGCAGCAGUGAGGAAUAUUGGUCAAUGGGCGGAAGCCUGAACCAGCCAAGUCGCGUGAAGGAUGAAGGUAUUAUGUAUUGUAAACUUCUUUAGACGUAGAGUAAUAAGGGGAUCGCGAUCCCUGAUGCAAGUACACUGAGAAUAAGGAUCGGCUAACUCCGUGCCAGCAGCCGCGGUAAUACGGAGGAUCCGAGCGUUAUCCGGAUUUAUUGGGUCUAAAGGGUGCGCAGGCGGCUUUUUAAGUCAGUGGUUAAAUCGUGACGCUCAACGUCAUCACGCCAUUGAUACUGGAGAGCUUGAUUGCGGUCGAGGUUUGCGGAAUUCGUUGUGUAGCGGUGAAAUGCAUAGAUAUGACGAAGAACACCGAUUGCGUAGGCAGCAGACCAGGCCGUAAAUGACGCUCAUGCACGAAAGUGCGGGGAUCGAACAGGAUUAGAUACCCUGGUA